Long non-coding RNA from Bufo bufo (common toad), 448 nucleotides. RefSeq lists it as uncharacterized. The transcript is spliced from 3 exons. The record is from RefSeq and is a predicted model, not a curated record. NCBI's taxonomy places the organism in Eukaryota, Metazoa, Chordata, Amphibia, Anura, Bufonidae.
UUGCCCUGCCUACUUGUGUUUGCCUUGCCUACUUGUGUUUUCCCACCUUUUGUCUGCUUGGAACUAACUACAACAUGGGGCCGCUUUUAGGUGCCCAAUCCGACCCUGCCAAAGGCAUUUGCAAUAUCUAAAGUAUGUCUCUAUUGUUCCCAGCCAGGGUAGUAUUCGGGUAGAUCACGUGGUACUUCUAAGCGUUGAUUCUGACAGAGUCCGUGAGCAACAUGGGAGGGCUGUACAAAGUCUUUAUGAGGCGUUAAGAAAUGAAAACUGCACAAUGAGCUUAUAUUUUGCUGGAAUCCUAUGUUUCAAUUUGAGCCGAGCAGUUAUCAGCGAUCAAAUGGAUGUAAAAGAUCUUUGCUCUGAACUGGAGACAAUCCCCACUGAAUUUCAUCCUUUUUUCUCUGGCAUCAUUACUGUCUCCAAUCAGUUCUUAUGUGUGACCAACUGU